GGGCCUGCGUCCCAUUAGCUAGUUGGUGAGGUAAAGGCUCACCAAGGCGACGAUGGGUAGCCGGCCUGAGAGGGUGGACGGCCACAAGGGAACUGAGACACGGUCCUUACUCCUACGGGAGGCAGCAGUGGGGAAUAUUGGACAAUGGGCCACGAGCCUGAUCCAGCAAUUCUGUGUGGGUGAUGACGGUCUUAGGAUUGUAAAGCCCUUUCAGUGGGGAAGAAGAAAGUGACAGUACCCACAGAAGAAGCCACGGCUAACUACGUGCCAGCAGCCGCGGUAAU
This 284-nucleotide ribosomal RNA is filed under the name uncultured Fusobacteriota bacterium. RNAcentral describes it as "uncultured Fusobacteria bacterium partial 16S ribosomal RNA". It matches the Rfam family "Bacterial small subunit ribosomal RNA", at positions 227 to 524 of the family's 1533-position model. Lineage: Bacteria; Fusobacteriati; Fusobacteriota. The record is from RNAcentral.